AGCAGUCACCAAUCAGCAUAGGAUAUGAAGAGCAGGAAAAAAUAUAUCCUAUGCUGAUUGGUGACUGCU
RNAcentral lists this microRNA precursor (69 nucleotides) under Pelobates cultripes (western spadefoot toad). Lineage: Eukaryota; Metazoa; Chordata; Amphibia; Anura; Pelobatidae. The record is from RNAcentral.